AGCACUGUGUGGUAUCUGCAGGCUGCUGCUCCUCCAGCCGCUCUGUUCAAAAGUCAGUGCUACAGCAGUCCAGCAGGGGGCAUCGUUGGUCUCCACACCGCUGUGUCUGGAGUCCUGGUAGACCUGCUGAGACACGC
Small nucleolar RNA from Salarias fasciatus (jewelled blenny), 137 nucleotides. The record is from Ensembl. Lineage: Eukaryota; Metazoa; Chordata; Actinopteri; Blenniiformes; Blenniidae.